UUUCAAAGUCCAAAUUGUUGCUUAGAAGCUUAUUGCCCAAUAAAGAUCCCUAUAGCAUCUUAUACGAUUUCCUUACAAAUUGGAAGAGAUCACAAAAUUUCAGUUUGUUGGUUUCUGACAAAGAAGAAAUUGUCUAGAGAAAUACUGGUGAGUGGUGACAAAUGUUCCAAAUGGACUAAAUGUUUCAGAAUCCGUGGGUAGUUGUUGGAAGAAAGGAAAGGAGUUCCUCUAAACUCAGUCAAUGUUAACAGGGAUUCAGACUGAACAAACUCACUUAAGGGGGCAUAGAGGGAAGAUUAGUUCACCAAGCGUGUGCACAAUUAUGAAAUACUUUUGGAAAUACAUAGCUCUUGUGAUGUUUAUUCUCUGGUCAUUAUGUUUUGAAUCAAUAUUCUGUUGUUAAUGUUACUGAUUGUUAGAGACUGACAUAUUUUAAUUGGUGAAGCACUUCUCGAAUGCUGGAUUUCCUUGCCCAAUCAUGCAAAGUCCUUCUGAUCACUUCUUGCGUGCUAUAAACACAGAAUUUGACAGGAUUAUUGCAAUGUGCAAAAGCUGGCAGGAUGACCAUGGAGACUUAUCAUCUGUGAGCAUGGAUACUGCUGUUGCUAUACGUACCCUUGAAGCAACCUAUAGAUCAUCGGCAGACGCUGCUGCUGUUGAGU
Nicotiana tabacum (common tobacco) is the source of this 662-nucleotide non-coding RNA. The record is from RefSeq and is a predicted model, not a curated record. Lineage: Eukaryota; Viridiplantae; Streptophyta; Magnoliopsida; Solanales; Solanaceae.